RNAcentral lists this ribosomal RNA (223 nucleotides) under uncultured bacterium. RNAcentral describes it as "partial 16S ribosomal RNA". It matches the Rfam family "Bacterial small subunit ribosomal RNA", at positions 127 to 334 of the family's 1533-position model. The record is from RNAcentral.
CGCCCUUCAGAGGGGGGAAACAGUUGGAAACGACUGCUAAUACCGCAUACGAUCCGACCUCGGCAUCGAGGAUGGAUGAAAGGUGGCCUCUAUUUAUAAGCUAUCACUGAAGGAGGGGAUUGCGUCUGAUUAGCUAGUUGGAGGGGUAACGGCCCACCAAGGCAAUGAUCAGUAGCCGGUCUGAGAGGAUGAACGGCCACAUUGGGACUGAGACACGGCCCAG